GACGAACGCUGGCGGCGUGCUUAACACAUGCAAGUCGAACGGUGAAGGGGUCUGCUUUUGUGGGCCCUGGAUGAGUGGCGAACGGGUGAGUAACACGUGAGUAACCUGCCCCCUUCUUCUGGAUAACCGCAUGAAAGUGUGGCUAAUACGGGAUAUUCUGGGUCUGUCGCAUGAUGGGUCUGGGAAAGAUUGCGCCUUUGGGUGUUUUUGGUGGGGGAUGGGCUCGCGGCCUAUCAGCUUGUUGGUGGGGUGAUGGCCUACCAAGGCGGUGACGGGUAGCCGGCCUGAGAGGGUGGACGGUCACACUGGGACUGAGACACGGCUCAGACUCCUACGGGAGGCAGCAGUGGGGAAUAUUGCACAAUGGGCGCAAGCCUGAUGCAGCGACGCCGCGUGAGGGAUGGAGGCCUUCGGGUUGUAAACCUCUUUCGCCAGUGAAGCAGGCCUGCUCCUUGUGGGUGGGUUGACGGUAGCUGGAUAAGAAGCGCCGGCUAACUACGUG
Molecule: ribosomal RNA, 502 nt
Filed under: uncultured bacterium
Lineage: Bacteria
Description: partial 16S ribosomal RNA
Rfam family: Bacterial small subunit ribosomal RNA
Source: RNAcentral